RNAcentral lists this long non-coding RNA (5069 nucleotides) under Cicer arietinum (chickpea). RNAcentral's name for it is "long non-coding RNA (CARI_LNC001431)". Lineage: Eukaryota; Viridiplantae; Streptophyta; Magnoliopsida; Fabales; Fabaceae. The record is from RNAcentral.
UCUCUUCUAUACUCCCUCUGCUUCUUCCUCUUCUUCUAAAGCUCUUGUUUCUGCUCAAACUAACAAGAGACCUGAAUGUAAUUCUUGAUAUAAUCUCAUAACUUGAUACAAUUUUCCAUUUUUGAAAUGUACUUGAAUUCAAUGACUCAUGCACCUCUCUUUCCUCUAUUUUUUGUUUAUAUUUUCUUUUUCUUUUUUGGUUCCACUCUGUGCUAGGUGACCUUCAGACUUACUCUGCUUAUGGUUUGGCCUUAAAAACGAGCUUACCAGAUGUCGCUCUAUGGUGUGAUGUGCAAUUAGGGGUGGUAAUAGGUCAGACUUUGAAAGGUCUGAGUCUGGCAUACGGAUUUCAGUCGAUUUUUGUCGGGUGGUAUGAAAAUUCCCCGAAAAGUCCAGAUGAAAUCGAGGACCGCAAGUCCUUAUAUCAUUCUUCUCCUAAACUUAUAACUGUGUUUCGGGUUGUGCAUCAGAUUUCAAAGACUUUCCAUCGUCCUGUCCAAAAAUACAGAUAGCGGUCCAUUUUUGUCGGGUAAUCUCCCGAAGAGUCCAGAUGAAAUUGAGGACCAGGAGACUCUUAUAGCAUUGUUAUCCUAAAUUUAUAAUUGUGUUUCGGGUUUCAGGUUAGAUUUCAAAUACUAGGCAUCUUCUGGUCCGAAAAUAUAGAUUUAUGUCCGUUUUUGUUGGGUGGUAGAAAAAUUGCCCGAAAAGUCCAGAAGAAAUCGAGGAUCGGGACACCCAUAUAACAUUCUUCUCCUAAAUUUAUAACUGUAUUUCGGAAUCCGCGUCAGAUUUCAAACAGUUGCCAUCGCCUGGUCCGAAAAUACGGAUUUCAUUCCAUUUUUGUCUAGUGGUACGAAAAUCGUCCGAAAAGUCUAGACGAAAUUGAGGACCGAGAGACCCUUAUAGCAUUCUUCUCCUAUAUUUAUAAUUGUGUUUUGGGUUCCGCGUCAGAUUUCAAACAUUAGCUAUCGUCUGAUCCGAAAAUACGGAUUACUGUCCAUUUUUGUCGAGGCUACGAAAAUUGCCCUAAAAGUCUAGAUAACAUCGAGGAACGGGAGACCCUUAUAGUAUUCUUCUCCUAAAUUUAUAAUUGUGUUUCGAGUAAGAUUUCAUGAAAGUAAGAGAAGAUCAAAAAUAGCUAUGUUGUUUUUCUUCUUGAAUUCAAUACCUUAUAUAUACAGUGGUUUGGUUGCUUCAUCACUUCACCAUUAACCGCCAAACUUGUUGGGAUGUGUAAACCACACGCUCUCUCUGCAAUACUCCCUGCUUCUAAAUUCUCUCUUUCUAGCUCUUGUUUCUGCUCAAACUAACAAGAGAUAUGAUUGGAAUACACUUACCGGUAGGUGUUAUUUUUUUCUUCUUUUUUGUGAUUUUUUCUUCACUUGCUUAUUGCAUAUUUAAGUAGAAGAAGAAUGUUUAUGAUUAUCAUUAUGAUUAGCUAUGAAGUGGAGGGUCUAAGCUUAGUUUAUAAUUAAACUUUGAUUUGUUAAUUUGGGCUUAGAAGGGAUUUGGCUUCUCAUAAAUGUUGCUUAAUUAAAUGGUUUACCACUAUGUUGAGAUGUUUAUGAAUAGAUUUAGAUAUACGACUCUUCAAUGCAAUAUAAGCAUAAUGAAUAUAUGAAAAACUGAUGUAUUUGGACCUGAAUGUAAUUCUUGAUAUAAUCUCAUAACUUGAUACAAUUUUCCAUUUUUGAAAUGUACUUGAAUUCAAUGACUCGUGCACCUCUCUUUGCUCUAUUUUUUGUUUAUAUAUUCUUUUUCUUUUUUGGUUCCACUCUGUGCUAGGUGGCCUUCAGACUUACUCUUGUUGAUUGUUUUGCAGGUAAUCCGCCGUUGGUCAUAGCACAUGGUGGUUUUUCGGGGAUAUUUCCAGAUUCGAGUGGUGCUGUUUAUGGUUUGGCCUUAGAAACAAGUUUACCGGAUGUCGCUCUAUGGUGUGAUGUGCAAUUGACAAAAGAUGCAGCUGGGAUUUGCCUUUCAAAUGUCAACCUUUUAAAUUCUAAUUACAUUUCAUUUGCUAUCCCAAAUUAAACUACGAAUUACUCAGUUAAUGGUGUAUCCACCCGUGGCUAUUUUUCGUGGAUUACACCUUGAAGGACUUAUCCAAUGUCUUCUGUAAGUUUCAGUCAUGAUAAAUAUGUAUUUUUAUUGAUGUAGAUUAUCGUUAUUUUGUGGAAUGAUUGAUUCUUUUGUAUGACAUACAUGUGUUUUAUGAUUUAAGGUAUUUUCUAUGUUUGGCAUACUAGUGAGUUUUGAAGUUAUUUAUUUCUAUGGUUUUUGACAUUUUUUCACUGUUGGUCAGUAUCUCAGGGAGUAUUUUCUCGGUCACCUCUACUUGAUGCCAAUGGUUAUCUAAUUCUUACUGUCAAUGAUGUAGUCAAAUCAGUGGCGCCACAAACACCAAGUCUGUGGUUGAAUAUUCAGGUUAAUGGAAUGUAUAAUUCAAUUCAUUCUCAUGAAAGUAAGAGAAGAUCAAAAAUAGCUAUGUUGUUUUUCUUCUUGAAUUCAAUACCUUAUAUAUACAGUGGUUUGGUUGCUUCAUCACUUCACCAUUAACCGCCAAACUUGUCGGGAUGUGUAAACCACGCGCUCUCGCUGCUAUACUCCCUCUGCUUCUUCCUUUUCUUCUAAAUUCUCUCUUUCUAGCUCUUGUUUUUGCUCAAACUAACAAGAGAUAUGAUUGGAAUACACUUGCCGGUAGGUGUUAUUUUUUUUCUUCUUCUUUUUUGUUAUUUUUUCUUCACUUGCUUAUUGCAUAUUUAAGUAGAAGAAGAAUGUUUAUGAUUAUCAUUAUGAUUAGCAAUGAAGUGGAGGGUCUUUGCUUAGUUUAUAAUUAAACUUUGAUUUGUUAAUUUGAGCUUAGAAGGGAUUUGGCUUCUCAUAAAUGUUGCUUAAUUAAAUGGUUUACCACUAUCUUAAGAUGUUUAUGAAUAGAUUUAGAUAUACGACUCUUCAAUGCAAUAUAAGAAAAAUGAAUAGAUGAAAAACUGAUGUUUUUGGACCUGAAUGUAAUUCUUGAUAUAAUCUCAUAACUUGAUACAAUUUUCCAUUUUUGAUAUGUACUUGAAGUCAAUGACUCAUGCACCUCUCUUUCCUCUAUUUUUUGUUUAUAUUUUCUUUUUCUUUUUUGGUUCCACUCUGUGCUAGGUGGCCUUCAGACUUACUCUUGUUGAUUGUUUUGCAGGUAAUCCGCCGUUGGUCAUAGCACAUGGUGGUUUUUCAGGGAUAUUUCCUGAUUCGAGUGGUGCUGCUUAUGGUUUGGCCUUAGAAACGAGCUUACCGGAUGUCGCUCUAUGGUGUGAUGUGCAAUUGACAAAAGAUGCAUCUGGGAUUUUCCUUCCAAAUGUCAACCUUUUAAAUUCUAAUUACAUUUCAUUUGCUAUCCCGAAUAAAACUACGAAUUACUCGGUUAAUGGUGUAUCCACCCGUGGCUAUUUUUCCGUGGAUUACACCUUGAAGGACUUAUCCAAUGUCUUAUGUAAGUUUCAGUCAUGAUAAAGAUGUAUUUUUAUUGAUGUAGAUUAUUGUUAUUUUGUGGAAUGAUUGAUUCUUUUGUAUGACAUAUAUGUGUUUUAUGAUUUAAGGUAUUUUCUAUGUUUGGCAUACUAGUGAGUUUUGAAGUUAUUUAUUUCUAUGGUUUUUGACAUUUUUUCACUGUUGGACAGUAUCUCAGGGAGUAUUUUCUCGGUCAACUCUACUUGAUGCCAAUGGUUAUCUAAUUCUUACUGUCAAUGAUGUAGUCAAAUCAGUGGCGCCACAAACACCAAGUCUGUGGUUGAAUAUUCAGGUUAAUGGAAUGUAUAAUUCAAUUCAUUCUCAUGAAAGUAAGAGAAGAUCAAAAAUAGCUAUGUUGUUUUUCUUCUUGAAUUCAAUACCUUAUAUAUACAGUGGUUUGGUUGCUUUAUCACUUCACCAUUAAACGCCAAACUUGUCGGGCCAAACUUGUCGGGAUGUGUAAACCACGCGCUCUCGCUGCUAUACUCCCUCUGCUUCUUCCUUUUCUUCUAAAUUCUCUCUUUCUAGCUCUUGUUUCUGCUCAAACUAACAAGAGAUAUGAUUGGAAUACACUUGCCGGUAGGUGUUAUUUUUUUUCUUCUUCUUUUUUGUUAUUUUUUCUUCACUUGCUUAUUGCAUAUUUAAGUAGAAGAAGAAUGUUUAUGAUUAUCAUUAUGAUUAGCUAUGAAGUGGAGGGUCUUAGCUUAGUUUAUAAUUAAACUUUGAUUUGUUAAUUUUAGCUUAGAAGGGAUUUGGCUUCUCAUAAAUGUUUCUUAAUUAAAUGGUUUACCACUAUGUUGAGAUGUUUAUGAAUAGAUUUAGAUAUACGACUCUUCAAUGCAAUAUAAGCAAAAUGAAUAUAUGAAAAACUGAUGUUUUUGGACCUGAAUGUAAUUCUUGAUAUAAUCUCAUAACUUGAUACAAUUUUCCAUUUUUGAAAUGUACUUGAAUUCAAUGAUUCAUGCACCUCUCUUUCCUUUAUUUUUUGUUUAUAUUUCCUUUUUCUUUUUUGGUUCCACUCUGUGCUAGGUGGCCUUCAGACUUACUCUUGUUGAUUGUUUUGCAGGUAAUCCGCCGUUGGUCAUAGCACAUGGUGGUUUUUCAGGGAUAUUUCCUGAUUCGAGUGGUGCUGCUUAUGGUUUGGCCUUAGAAACGAGCUUACCGGAUGUCGCUCUAUGGUGUGAUGUGCAAUUGACAAAAGAUGCAGCUGGGAUUUUCCUUCCAAAUGUCAACCUUUUAAAUUCUAAUUACAUUUCAUUUGCUAUCCCGAAUAAAACUACGAAUUACUCAGUUAAUGGUGUAUCCACCCGUGGCUAUUUUUCCAUGGAUUACACCUUGAAGGACUUAUCCAAUGUCUUCUGUAAGUUUCAGUCAUGAUAAAGAUGUAUUUUUAUUGAUGUAGAUUAUUGUUAUUUUGUGGAAUGAUUGAUUCUUUUGUAUGACAUAUAUGUGUUUUAUGAUUUAAGGUAUUUUCUAUGUUUGGCAUACUAGUGAGUUUUGAAGUUAUUUAUUUCUAUGGUUUUUGACAUUUUUUCAUUGCUGGACAGUAUCUCAGGGAGUAUUUUCUCGGUUAC